CGGUGAGGGCUGCUCCAGGCCGGGUUUGGGAGCUUCUCCAGCGAUUCCCCACAUACAAAACAUCCCAGGGCCACCAGCCUCCCCAGCGCCAGCUGUUUCCACUUCCGGCACAUAUGUUCACUCACGUAAAUUGUUGACUAACUUCACAUCCAGAAUUUUAAACAGAGGAAAACCCGGGGCUGGUCUACACCCACCAGAAGAGCAGAGAUAAGGAGGGGGAAUUUCAACAACAAACAAACGAAAAAGCAGAACGAUGCCAGAGAACCUACGUUUACCCAGGACAGCAGACUUCCCCCGCGUUUAUGGCUUCCUGAACCAGCGCUGCUGCAUCACGGUAGCGAAGCCCGGUGAACCGACUUCUAGGGUGAACUAGAUAAGCGAGAACAGAGAAGCAGAGUGAGCUACGCAACCCAUGGUGGGAGCGACAACAGGACCGCAGUCAAAAGCCUGGCUCACAGCGAAUGGACACUACCGUCAACGGCCUGUAGUGUCAGGAGCUCAGAGUCCCAAGCCAGACCUCCACGGUUGAGUUCCAACUCUGCCACUUGGGAGCUGUGUGACCUGGUGUGAGUUACUUACCCUCUCUGUGCUUCAAUUUUAUCAUCUAUCGAAUGGCGAUCAUAAUAGUACCAACCUCAUGGAGUUGUUGUGGGCUAAAAUGAGUUCGUGUAAAACCCUUAGAACAGUGCCUGGCAUUCACUAACACUAAGAGCUUGCUGUUUUUAUUAUAUAUACACUUGUGAAUUUAAACUAGAAUUUAUUACUCCUCUUCGAUAUUUGCGACAUAGGAUUUCUCAUGGGAUUCUGGUUUGCUAUGCUGUCAGGUGUGACAUGCCUGACGUAUCCUUUGCUAACCUCCAUGAAAAUACUAUUGCUCCACCCUCAUGCCCCCAAAAUAAUACAAGCUUGCAAAUUUCCUGAAUUUAUUAAGUGUAAGGUAAGGCCAUAUACUCAAAGCAGAUGGAAUUUCUACAAACCACAUCAUCAAUACCAGUGAACUGAGUACAUUCUUAGUUCUAUCCUGGGGCUGUGAUCAGGAGAAGGGAAAUGGGUCAGAGGAAGCAAAUAGGAAAGUUUACUGUCUGUCCACAUUAAUUAUAAAAUCAGAAAAAUUAAUAACGUAAAAAUAAUAGUGCAACCAGACAAUUAGGCCAGAUUAAUAUUUGGAAGCGAUUAAUACUUGGAUGUGGGCAAAUUUGACUAUAGAACUUAAGACACAAUUGGGAGUAAGGUUGACUGACAUGGUCGUCCCGUUUUCCUCCAUCUCCUGUGACAUCACAGGGAGGCGGGGUUAACAUGCUGUCCUCAAGGCCCUCUUGGUAGGACGGGUGUCCUCAACCACUGUUACUGCUUAAAUGCAGCAUCUUUGACAAAUAUUUAGUGCUUUGGCUGUUUAAGGAUGGAAGGAAUGUGGCUAGAAGUGUAUUUUCUGUUCAUUUCAGGAAAAGAAAUAGUCUUUCGGAGUUUUAGACCAACUGACAUAACGUAUCUCAACAUUUAACUUGGGUUUGAUGUUGCAAUUUUUAUAUUUCUUCCCACAUGCUUUUGGAAGAGUCUGUCUCCUGCUGGGGGCUUCCAGGAUGACCCUCAUCCCCAGUGUUUCUGACCAUUUUUGUGAAUUUGGUGUUUCUUUGGGAACAAAUCUCUGCUGCAGUCGUAGCUGAGGAUGGCUCAGAUCUGGCCACCAAGGGCACUGUCCUGGGGAGAGACGAGUUCUCGCUUAAAGACAUUGUUCAUAAAAAGUCAACCUACGGAGACAGGCCAACCACGCGCCAGGUACUCGCUCAGCAGUGACUUGAGCAAUGAGCCCAAUGGAGAGAGCGCCUGCCCUUACGGGGCCUGGAUCCUAAUCAGGAAAUCCGAAAUAGACAGGUAUCUGCAUAGCCAACUCUCCAUUAUCCAUGGUGCAGGUCAACUGUGUUCUGCGGGCAUCUCUCCAUCCCCUCAGCCUCCCCUCAGCCUCCUUCCAGCCCCCACAGCGCCCUGUGUUGGAUGUCUACUUGCACAUGCCUCCCCAGAGGGCCAGCCAUCCUGAGAGAGAGGGUAAUGUAAAGGGCUGGGAUGUGGAAGGAAGGAAGACGUAGGGGCUGGUUACCCACCAUCUUGGACUAGUUUCAUUAUUUCUCCUUCCUCCUUGUGGAUAAUUGAAGUGUGAACACAUGUUCUCAACAUGUUACCUCCAAUCUUGCUGAAACGCCCUGGACUACAUAUUAUGUCCAGAUUAAUUUCUUCCCCCAGCCUGAUGUAGAACCAUGAACCGAGAGGUACAUAAUAUGUGAUAUAUUUUACAGUAACAUUCAGCAAACUUGUCUACCAUUGAAAGGUUCAUUUCGAGUUGUGUUAAUCGAAGGCAAGUUGACUCAUUUGUCCACGACAAUGCCCUCAUUUCCCUUUGAGCAAUUAUCAAGUGUGCUUGACGCAGAGCAGCUGACCUUCGAAUACAAGGCUGGGCUGGGGGUGGGGUGGGCCUGGACUGUCAGUGUGGAUUUGGCAGCAUGAGUUGCUCCAAAGAAUCCUGAUUUCUUAUGCGUGAACUCCUGACCCCGGCGCUGGAGCCUGGCGAGCGGGCGGGAAGGAAGGUGAACUCCCGCUGAUUCAGGGUCCCUCCCAGGCGGCCUUUUCCACGGUGUCAGCAGUGUUCACCUCACUUUCCUCUCCUCCCUCUUCCGCCCCCCUAUAAGUCCUGUCCCUGGAAGCACUUCUGAGUUGCCAGGAAUCAUGAACAUUGGGAAACAAUCCAAAAAGCUGGGUGGCUACUUUAUUUUCCGUAGCCCACACGGUCACACGUGGCCCCGGUCUCAGCAUCUGGUCAUAGGUGUGGACACAGCAUGGCCUAAAGGAAGGAACAUGGGACCACAAAGAGGGGCCUUCAGUGACUCAGGUACCAAGCAAGCAUGUGGCUUGGAGGCCAGCCUUUCUUAAGGGCCUGUCUGGGUGAAGACCGAGAAAUGUUCUAUGGUGGUUUCAGAAUUUUCUCCCCUAGCUUCAUUACUUGGAGCGGUGCUUCUCGAUGUUGAAGCUGGAGGUCUGAGGACCACACUUUCAGUAGGAAGAUGACCAGGCCCCACGGCCACGUCGUUUCCAGGAGAUGGUAACAAAACGAGGAGGAAAGGCCCAGAUGUCAACAUGCCUGCCAUUGAGGAUCACAGGAAGUGCCCUUAAAACAAAUAUCAGGUUCUGACCUGGAGAAACAGCUCCUUUCUUUGAUUUCAAAACAUGGCUAAUGUUCCACUGUGCAAGAAUAUUUCGAACAUCCCAAUUGGAAAAAAAAAGGUUCCAAAGGCGAAGUCUAAGCAGCCGCACGAGGACCUGCUGUUACGCUUCCUUAGCUCUCUGGUGCAGGUGGAGCUCAGCUGUCUAUCAAACGAUGAGGAACUCAGUUGUGUGAGCAAACAGCCCUCAUUCACAUUUGACAAAAUCUGCCUAAAGUAAUAAGGUGAUGAAAACUUCCGAACUUCUCUCGAGCUGGACAUCUUCUCCCGAAUGCCUCUGAACCUCUCCUGCGAAUGCAGUUCCGUGGAUGCAGAAGCUGUUUGCAGAUUCCCUCUGCUAGUGUCCUUGGUCAGUCAAAGGCACCCCCAUAGAAGUCCCGUGCGAGUGCGUGCAGCCGUCACUGGUAAAGCCAGCAGCUGGGUAGCACUUCUUUUCACACUUCACAUCCUUGAGCUUAUCCUUGGAUUUGCGUGGGUGGCACCUGUUUGCACAGCCUACCCUCAUCUGAGAUUCUGCCUCCUCUACUGGGCAGGUUGAAGCCUUUUCUUGCCCCCUAUAAAGCAACAGCUCAUUCCUGAGUUGUGUGUGUCAAGCUGGUAUGUCUACUCUUCUCAUUAAAAGGUUCACUGGAACUAACCAAUAAGAUCACCCUUUGAAAUAUUUUCUGCGCUCUACUUUUAGAAGAAAGAGCCAGAUCAUCUAAAGGAAGCAAACUGGUAUCAUGGCUUUUGAGAAAAUGAACAAACAACAAAACAUGUUCCAGAAUGUGUUGGGUCCAACACACAGUUACCCAGUUUCUUGCACUUUCUACAUUAACAUGUACUCACUAAUCCUACCUGAUUGUUUAGAAUAAACAGUUAUUCUGGAGCCCCUCAUUAAACGCUCGAAAAAGAGCAUAGGUUCAAUAUUUUACCCCAAAGCAGGAAAUCAAACCAUGUUUUUAGAAAGUAAAUAUCAACUGACAGAAUGAAUGACAAAGAAAGAGAGAGAGGGAUUGACUGGCC
This is a long non-coding RNA of Equus caballus (horse), 4217 nucleotides long. Lineage: Eukaryota; Metazoa; Chordata; Mammalia; Perissodactyla; Equidae. The record is from Ensembl.